AGUUGGCUGAUGCAGACCCGAAACCAAGUGACCUACCCAUGACCAGGUUGAAGGCGCGGUAAAACGCGCUGGAGGACCGAACCCACGUAAGUUGAAAAUUGCGGGGAUGAGUUGUGGGUAGCGGUGAAAUUCCAAACGAACUUGGAGAUAGCUGGUUCUCUCCGAAAUAGCUUUAGGGCUAGCCUCGCAAAGAGGAUGCUGGAGGUAGAGCUCUGUUUGGACUAGGGGCCCGUCAGGGGUUACUGAAUCCAGAUAAACUGCGAAUUCCAGACAUUUGUAUGCGGGAGUCAGACUGCGAGUGAUAAGAUCCGUAGUCGAAAGGGAAACAGCCCAGAUCACCAGUUAAGGUCCCUAAAUACAUGCUAAGUGGGAAAGGAUGUGGAGUUGCGUAGACAACUAGGACGUUGGCUCAGAAGCAGCCAUCAUUCAAAGAGUGCGUAAUAGCUCACUAGUCGAGUGACGCCGCGCCGAAAAUUUAACGGGGCUAAGCAUGAUACCGAAACUGUGGAUGUGCAUUAUGCACGUGGUAGGAGAGCGUUCUAGCGGCGGUGAAGCAUGACCGGGAGGACAUGUGGAGCUUCUAGAAGUGAGAAUGCCGGUAUGAGUAACGAAAGAUGGGUGAGAAUCCCAUCCGCCGCAAGACUAAGGUUUCCUGGGGCAGGCUCGUCCGCCCAGGGUAAGUCGGGACCUAAGGCGAGGCCGAAAGGCGUAGUCGAUGGACAACAGGUAGAGAUUCCUGUACUGCACCGAAUCGUUAUGAGCGAAGGAGGGACGCAGGAGGCUAUCAGCGCGUGGGGCUGGAUCCACGUUCAAGCGACAAGCUUUGGAAUGAGUCAAAUGCUUAUUCCUUCAAGAGCAAGUCGUGAUGAGGAGCGAAAUUUAUAGUAGCGAAGGCUGAGACGUCACACUGCCGAGAAAAGCUUCUAGCCAGAGACGGUGCACCCGUACCGCAAACCGACACAGGUAGUCGAGGAGAGUAUCCUCAGGUGAGCGAGAGAACUCUCGUUAAGGAACUCGGCAAAAUGGCCCCGUAACUUCGGGAGAAGGGGCGCUGGUCGCAAGAUCAGCCGCAGUGAAAAGGCCCAAGCAACUGUUUAUCAAAAACACAGGCAUCUGCAAAAUCGCAAGAUGAAGUAUAGGUGCUGACACCUGCCCGGUGCUGGAAGGUUAAGAGGAGAGCUUAGCGCAAGCGAAGGCUUGAAUUGAAGCCCCAGUAAACGGCGGCCGUAACUAUAACGGUCCUAAGGUAGCGAAAUUCCUUGUCGGGUAAGUUCCGACCUGCACGAAAGGUGUAAUGAUUUGGGCACUGUCUCAACGAGAGACUCGGUGAAAUUAUAAUACCCGUGAAGAUGCGGGUUACCCGCGACAGGACGGAAAGACCCCAUGGAGCUUUACUGCAGUUUAAUAUUGGGUAUCUGUCAAGCAUGUACAGGAUAGGUAGGAGCCAGAGAAGGUGGGACGCCAGUCUCACCGGAGGCGCUGUUGGGAUACUACCCCUGCUUGACGGAUGCUCUAACUCAGGCUUGUGAACCAGGCCGAGGACAGUGUUUGACGGGCAGUUUGACUGGGGCGGUCGCCUCCUAAAGCGUAACGGAGGCGCUCAAAGGUUCCCUCAGAAUGGUUGGAAAUCAUUCGCAGAGUGUAAAGGCAGAAGGGAGCUUGACUGCGAGAGCAACAACUCGAGCAGGUACGAAAGUAGGACUUAGUGAUCUGGUGAUUCCGCAUGGAAGGGUCAUCACUCAACGGAUAAAAGCUACCCUGGGGAUAACAGGCUUAUCUCCCCCAAGAGUUCACAUCGACGGGGAGGUUUGGCACCUCGAUGUCGGCUCGUCGCAUCCUGGGGCUGAAGUCGGUCCCAAGGGUUGGGCUGUUCGCCCAUUAAAGCGGCACGCGAGCUGGGUUCAGAACGUCGUGAGACAGUUCGGUCCCUAUCCGUCGUGGGCGCAGGAAAUUUGAGAGGAGCUGUCCUUAGUACGAGAGGACCGGGAUGGACGCACCGCUGGUGUACCAGUUGUUCCGCCAGGAGCAUCGCUGGGUAGCUAUGUGCGGAAGGGAUAAGCGCUGAAAGCAUCUAAGUGCGAAGCCCCCCUCAAGAUGAGAUUUCCCAUUUCUUCAAGAAAGUAAGACACCUCAGAGACGAUGAGGUAGAUAGGCCGGGAGUGGAAGAGCCGCGAGGCUUGGAGCGGACCGGUACUAAUCAGUCGAGGACUUGACCAAA
RNAcentral lists this ribosomal RNA (2218 nucleotides) under Lactobacillus porci. RNAcentral's name for it is "partial 23S ribosomal RNA". It matches the Rfam family "Bacterial large subunit ribosomal RNA", at positions 698 to 2925 of the family's 2925-position model. The record is from RNAcentral. Lineage: Bacteria; Bacillati; Bacillota; Bacilli; Lactobacillales; Lactobacillaceae.